Molecule: ribosomal RNA, 194 nt
Filed under: uncultured bacterium
Lineage: Bacteria
Description: partial 16S rRNA
Rfam family: Bacterial small subunit ribosomal RNA
Source: RNAcentral
CCUACGGGAGGCAGCAGUAGGGAAUCUUCCACAAUGGACGAAAGUCUGAUGGAGCAACGCCGCGUGAGUGAAGAAGGUUUUCGGAUCGUAAAACUCUGUUGUAAGGGAAGAACACGUACGAGAGUAACUGCUCGUACCUUGACGGUACCUUAUUAGAAAGCCACGGCUAACUACGUGCCAGCAGGCGCGGUAAU